Molecule: long non-coding RNA, 1976 nt
Organism: Ahaetulla prasina
Lineage: Eukaryota; Metazoa; Chordata; Lepidosauria; Squamata; Colubridae
Exons: 3
Source: RefSeq, a predicted model, not a curated record
CGCAUGCGCAGGAGGGGUGGUUGUUUUUGCUGUAGCGGGUGGAAGAUUUUAUAGCUAGGCGAGCUAAUUAUUUUAUAAAUGAAAGGGCUAUAUUCAUACAACACAUCUACUCCUAGUUUACGCAGUGAUCCCAAUUUAUUAGGUUUACCCAACGCGCUAAACCAUAAGCUAAGAAAGGAAUUGCUGGCUGAGAAUGGAAUUGUUUGCGACUAAAAAGUAAUGAGUUUGUGCUUCUGUGUGCUGAGAAAACGCAGCCAAAAUAUGUUAGCUGGCUAUUUAGUUAUUUCGUGCAGGGGCCGUCCAAAUACGGGAAGGAAACCUAUAGGCAUAUAUUGAAGGCUUCUUUCAUUGUUUCUGUGCUUCCCCUAUUCAUUUAUCUUCAAUCUACAAACUUGUGUCAAGUCAAGUUCAGCAUUUACUAAGAGAAUGAAGACCUGUAACCAAAGGAAAUUCUGCCUACUAUCCCACCAGUAAUUCAUGUACAGAAAAAAUUGCAAAUCUGUUCCUUCACAGCUGGAAUACGAGUUGCUCCACCUACUAUUUCUACACUGUAAAUAUCUUCACGCUGUAGUUCUAGGAGGCAAACAGGAGAUAAUUUGUUUUUAUGGAUGAAAAAGAUAAUCAGUUUUAGAAGGAAUGGAUUCAUUUGGUGGAGAAACUAGAAUCCUAAAAAAGAAGCAUUUCACACUGCAACAUUUCAAUGCAAGCUUCACUUGUUUUGCUCUACUCUGAUUUCUACUUCUAUUAUGAUUAUUAUUGGAAUAGAAAAAAAAAAGAAAGUAUUUAUGAUGAAAUGCUUGUCUUCAUUCAGAUUGUCUACACUUAAACCAUUAUCAAUGGGAAUAACCAUCAGAACCUUAAAUGAGCUUUGGGGCCAUCUGGAGGCUGGUAACAGAUGUCCUAUACUGAACUUAUACAAUAUAACCAGAAACUAAGUUCAGAACACUGUGCUAUGCUGGUGCAUGGUACAAUAUUUUAAAGUGAUGGCCAAUAGUGAGAACUGCCAUUCAACAAAUGAACUAUUAGCAAACUAGUAACUAUUGACAAGUAUAAAAUAUAAGGUAGUUUUCUCCCCACCUCCUUUGUUUUGAUUGCUUUUAUCUGUUUUCAUCUUCUGUACAUUUAUGCCGGCUACUUGACUACACCAUCCUGAUCUCUACAAAGUCUAUGAAUCCCAAGGACCUGUUACUUAAUUCUAAGACACUCUUCUUGAGACUUAUAAUUUUGGUUGCUUAUUCAAUGUUAGAUCUGAAUCUGUAUGUCUAGCUCUUCUUUCCCAAUCUUCUACCAAAUUUUCCUUCCAGCACAUUUUCUUUCCAAACCAACAGAGUAUUCAAACCCAGUUAUGUACAUGGGUUAGGACUCUGUCCGUCUGUCUAUCCAUUAUCAUGACAACAGUCUAGAAACUAAGUAGAAGAGGAUCGAAUUUGGCAUGAAGAACUGAACAAAAGAAAUAUCAAGUUCAAAAAUAGACUGGAUCAGACUAGGAGCAACAGCAUAAAAAAAUCCACAAAAUUUCCCCAAAUGCAUUCCUUAGGGAAGAGGCAAUUUAGAGCUGCUCAGGAUACUACCAAUUCCUGCGACUGGGUGGUCAUGGCCAACUGGGCGGCCAUUACCCAAAGUGACGUGGGUAAACAGGGCCAAGGCAACACGGGGCAGCCCCUUACAUUUUCCAGAACAGCCCCGCAUGCUGGAUCCGACUACAUUGCGGGCCGCAUCCGGUCCAUGGCCAUUUUAUUUGACACCCUUGAUCUAGAUAAGUAUUUUCUUCCCUCAUCUUCUUAGCAUCUUUUCUGUACUUGAUAGAAUCACACAUACCCAACUUUGUAAUAACACCAAUACCAAAAUAUUAUAUUUUCAAUUUCCAUAAACAUUAAAGAAUUAAAGAAUAAUCAAUGUGAUAGGCAUGACCUACAGUAGCAAGCAGAAGCAUUUAUAUUAAAUAUAAGCAUCCAAAAUAAGCUGUUGCAGCAUUU